RNAcentral lists this ribosomal RNA (769 nucleotides) under uncultured bacterium. Its description in RNAcentral is "bacterial SSU rRNA". It matches the Rfam family "Bacterial small subunit ribosomal RNA", at positions 55 to 832 of the family's 1533-position model. The record is from RNAcentral.
AUGCAGUCGAACGGUGAUAGUAAUAUCAUAGUGGCGCACGGGUGCGUAACACGUAUGCAACCUACCUUAUACUUAGGGAUAGCCUUUGGAAACGGAGAUUAAUACCUGAUGGUACAGUUGACUUGGCAUCGAGUUACUGUUAAAGAUUUAUUGGUAUAAGAUGGGCAUGCGUCCAAUUAGUUAGUUGGUGAGGUAAUGGCUCACCAAGACGAUGAUUGGUAGGGGAACUGAGAGGUUAAUCCCCCACACUGGCACUGAGAUACGGGCCAGACUCCUACGGGAGGCAGCAGUAGGGAAUAUUGGGCAAUGGAGGCAACUCUGACCCAGCCAUGCCGCGUGCAGGAUGAAGGCGUUAUGCGUUGUAAACUGCUUUUAUAUAGGAAGAAAUAGACCUUGCGAGGUAAGUUGACGGUACUAUAUGAAUAAGCACCGGCUAACUCCGUGCCAGCAGCCGCGGUAAUACGGAGGGUGCAAGCGUUGUCCGGAUUUAUUGGGUUUAAAGGGUGCGUAGGCGGUUUAUUAAGUCGGUGGUGAAAGACGGUCGCUCAACGAUUGCAGUGCCAUUGAUACUGGUAGACUUGAGUGGGAUUGAGGUAGCUGGAAUGGAUAGUGUAGCGGUGAAAUGCAUAGAUAUUAUCCAGAACACCAAUUGCGUAGGCAAGUUACUAAGUCUCAACUGACGCUGAGGCACGAAAGUGUGGGUAUCAAACAGGAUUAGAUACCCUGGUAGUCCACACUGUAAACGAUGAUAACUAACUGUUGGCUUUUG